Molecule: transfer RNA, 67 nt
Filed under: Marmota monax (woodchuck)
Lineage: Eukaryota; Metazoa; Chordata; Mammalia; Rodentia; Sciuridae
Description: tRNA.Ala
Rfam family: tRNA
About the family: Transfer RNA (tRNA) molecules are approximately 80 nucleotides in length. Their secondary structure includes four short double-helical elements and three loops (D, anti-codon, and T loops). Further hydrogen bonds mediate the characteristic L-shaped molecular structure. tRNAs have two regions of fundamental functional importance: the anti-codon, which is responsible for specific mRNA codon recognition, and the 3' end, to which the tRNAs corresponding amino acid is attached (by aminoacyl-tRNA synthetases). tRNAs cope with the degeneracy of the genetic code in two manners: having more than one tRNA (with a specific anti-codon) for a particular amino acid; and 'wobble' base-pairing, i.e. permitting non-standard base-pairing at the 3rd anti-codon position.
Source: RNAcentral
GAGUGUAGCUCAGUGGUAGAGCACUUGCCUAGCAUGUGUGAGGCCCUGGGUUCUGUUCCCAGCACCA